Molecule: transfer RNA, 63 nt
Filed under: Ictidomys tridecemlineatus (thirteen-lined ground squirrel)
Lineage: Eukaryota; Metazoa; Chordata; Mammalia; Rodentia; Sciuridae
Description: Spermophilus tridecemlineatus (thirteen-lined ground squirrel) tRNA
Rfam family: tRNA
About the family: Transfer RNA (tRNA) molecules are approximately 80 nucleotides in length. Their secondary structure includes four short double-helical elements and three loops (D, anti-codon, and T loops).
Source: Rfam by way of RNAcentral
GGGGAUAUAGCUCAGUGGUAGAGCACUUGCUUAGCAUACAAGAAGCCUUGGUUUUCAUCCCCA